Long non-coding RNA from Drosophila yakuba, 1622 nucleotides. RefSeq lists it as uncharacterized. The transcript has 2 exons. The record is from RefSeq and is a predicted model, not a curated record. Lineage: Eukaryota; Metazoa; Arthropoda; Insecta; Diptera; Drosophilidae.
AUGAAUCGCUUUUCAGCUGAGCUUCCGUUUCCUCGAAAAAUGUUCUCAAAAAUACACUGCCCAAUAGAAACCGACGAGUUUUGAACUUUGCGGGGAUGUCAGGUCGCUGGAGAGAUGUUUGCACAAAUGUUUCUGAGCACACACACGAAAAUCUUUGCAAUUGAGAUGCAAAUUGAAUUAUUGUUUGAAUUCUGGCUUUGUUUACGCCGCUUGUUCGAUAAACAUCGGGGCGAAAUGCAGUCAGUGAUAUGUUUGCUGUUGUGUUUGUCGUGUGCUUUAGCUUUUUGUAAAUAUAAACAAAGUCCGGGGACGGGGCGGGAGCGGUGAUGUCGCGGCGGCGGUUGGCGCAAAUAAAAGUUAAAAAUAAAAACUUAUAAUUGUCCGACGGCUGUUGUUAUUUUUAUUAUUGUUGCCAUUUAUUUUUGGAAAUAGACGUUGAAUUUGUUUAUAUGGAGUAAAAAUAAAUUAUUGCGCGUAGUGCGAGAGCAGCGGGCCAGCAUAAUUUCUCGCGGCGUUCGAUUUAAGAUUUCUAUCUGUUGUGAAUCGCUAGCGGAAUCGGAUCGUUGGAUCUUUGGCUCGGAAUGAAAAUAUCGAACUCGCAAACGGAUCCCAAACUGAUCUGCCGAAAUCGAAUCGAAUCGAAAUCUCAAAAUCUCGAAAUCCCGAAAACCGAAAAACUGAAGAAGCGGCGCUGCGGACGCGUACAAACGUACUGACGGAUAUGCCGUCGUUGACGUCGUAACGCCAAGUACGCACACACAGAUACGCCCGCACACAACUGCACUGGCAGGCUCUCUCGUAGUCCCACACACAAACAGGCACAGCCACCAACGAACACGUACGUAGGCUGGCGGUGAGGAUUUUCGUUUCGUGGUGAACUCACUCACACGCGCACACCUUCUAACGGUGCCUUUUGUUUUUGCCUUUUUGUGUAACAGAAUAUCGCACACACACAUCACACCAGAGAAUGAGAGAGCGGGAGAGAAAGGGAGUGCGCAGUCGCUGACUUUGAGUUCUUACUCACAACGAAAGCAAGAGUGAGCGAGAGGUGGCGGGCUGGUGGGGUGAGUGAGUAAUUCGGAUUGUGAGUGAGUGCGUGCGGGAGUCGAACGAGAAACAUAUGGUUUUUGUUUGUGCCCCAGCCAGACACACGCACACACUUGAUCAAUCAGCAACAGUUACAGUUAGUUCCCUCGCAGAGCUUGUUGUCCCGCUCUAGCACCCUCCCAUAAAUGUUAAUUAUUCCCCACUUCACCACCCCCUUAACUACACCCCUGCUAAACAUCGCUUUGGUUUCCGUUUUCCUUUGUAUCCGUAUCUCCCGCCCUUCCAGGACCUCCCUCUCCCCAUUUACCAAGUUUCUGGUUUUUUUUGUGUGUAUUUUACUUAUUUGUCCUUGCCACUGGAUCCUCUUUAUAAACACCAACCUACCAUUAGUUUUUCCCCUCGACGCAGCUUAAUAAAAACUUUGUUGACUUGCGUUUGGCACAUAAAAAGCAAAAACUGAAGCCGUGGAAAACAAUACCAAGCAUCCUGGCUGGAGAAAAGGGAAGGGAAUGACUGGUGGGAAAAGCAGACAGGCAAACAGGCAGACACACGGAAAUUGACAACUCGCAGAGCAA